This 252-nucleotide ribosomal RNA is filed under the name uncultured bacterium. RNAcentral's name for it is "partial 16S ribosomal RNA". It matches the Rfam family "Bacterial small subunit ribosomal RNA", at positions 524 to 776 of the family's 1533-position model. The record is from RNAcentral.
UACGUAGGUGGCAAGCGUUGUCCGGAAUUAUUGGGCGUAAAGCGCGCGCAGGUGGUUCCUUAAGUCUGAUGUGAAAGCCCACGGCUCAACCGUGGAGGGUCAUUGGAAACUGGGAACUUGAGUGCAGAAGAGGAAAGUGGAAUUCCAAGUGUAGCGGUGAAAUGCGUAGAGAUUUGGAGGAACACCAGUGGCGAAGGCGACUUUCUGGUCUGUAACUGACACUGAGGCGCGAAAGCGUGGGGAGCAAACAGG